AAUCUGCAGCCUUGGAAUUGCCCUUAGUUGCUCUUGUACUCUGGGCAUAUUGGCUUUGCAGAAAGAGUAUCUGAGGAAGCCGAGGCAGGACUGUAAAAAGUAGCAUCCGCUCCAUGUGCAAUGUUCCUCUGACAUAUGCAGUACUGUUGCCACGGAGAUAAUGAUUGUCCUAGUGUCAUUAUCCAUCUAUCAACAGUAAGAGUGAAUUUGCUGUAUGAUAUUGUUCAGCAAAUGGAGCAUUUCUGCUGAACACUAAAAACUGCUACAUAU
Non-coding RNA from Podarcis lilfordi (Lilford's wall lizard), 270 nucleotides. The record is from the annotation of a GenBank genome assembly. Lineage: Eukaryota; Metazoa; Chordata; Lepidosauria; Squamata; Lacertidae.